This 505-nucleotide ribosomal RNA is filed under the name uncultured bacterium. Its description in RNAcentral is "partial 16S ribosomal RNA". It matches the Rfam family "Bacterial small subunit ribosomal RNA", at positions 28 to 507 of the family's 1533-position model. The record is from RNAcentral.
GACGAACGCUGGCGGCGUGCCUAAUACAUGCAAGUAGAACGCACAGUUUAUACCGUAGCUUGCUACACCAUAGACUGUGAGUUGCGAACGGGUGAGUAACGCGUAGGUAACCUGCCUGGUAGCGGGGGAUAACUAUUGGAAACGAUAGCUAAUACCGCAUCAUAUUAAUUAUUGCAUGAUAAUUGAUUGAAAGAUGCAACUGCAUCACUACCAGAUGGACCUGCGUUGUAUUAGCUAGUAGGUGAGGUAACGGCUCACCUAGGCGACGAUACAUAGCCGACCUGAGAGGGUGAUCGGCCACACUGGGACUGAGACACGGCCCAGACUCCUACGGGAGGCAGCAGUAGGGAAUCUUCGGCAAUGGACGAAAGUCUGACCGAGCAACGCCGCGUGAGUGAAGAAGGGUUUCGGAUCGUAAAGCUCUGUUGUAAGAGAAGAACGGGUGUGAGAGUGGAAAGUUCACACUGUGACGGUAUCUUACCAGAAAGGGACGGCUAACUACGUG